Molecule: ribosomal RNA, 253 nt
Filed under: uncultured bacterium
Lineage: Bacteria
Description: partial 16S ribosomal RNA
Rfam family: Bacterial small subunit ribosomal RNA
Source: RNAcentral
UACGGGGGGGGUAAGCGUUGUUCGGAAUUACUGGGCGUAAAGGGCUCGUAGGCGGCCAACUAAGUCAGACGUGAAAUCCCUCAGCUUAACUGGGGAACUGCGUCUGAUACUGGAUGGCUUGGAUUCGGGAGAGGAAUGCGGAAUUCCAGGUGUAGCGGUGAAAUGCGUAGAUAUCUGGAGGAACACCGGUGGCGAAGGCGGCAUCCUGGACCAACACUGACGCUGAGGAGCGAAAGCCAGGGGAGCGAACGGG